Sinocyclocheilus anshuiensis is the source of this 328-nucleotide long non-coding RNA. RefSeq lists it as uncharacterized. The record is from RefSeq and is a predicted model, not a curated record. The transcript has 3 exons. Lineage: Eukaryota; Metazoa; Chordata; Actinopteri; Cypriniformes; Cyprinidae.
CUGCUGGACUUCUGACUGGAGUUGGUCUACCAUGAAUCGCAUUUCUGACACCAAGAUUCCUCUUGUUGUUUGGUAGUGGUCAACAGAGUGAAAACUUGACUCUUGUUAUCCUCAACUUUUGCAGCAAGGUCCGCGAGUUGAUUUUUGUUUUGAGAAGAAGUGGCUUUCAUUUCUUGGGAGUUGGUAGAACGUUGGGUAGGUCGUGCUGUGCACUUGAAAGAGAUCCUCCUUCGGAUGAUGUGCAUAGUUGCAUGUUAGCCACUUGUGGUGCCCAGGUGAGAGUUUGCACGGGAGUGCUGCCAGCCAGAACAGGAGAAGACAUUAGCAU